This 73-nucleotide transfer RNA is filed under the name uncultured phage cr128_1. Its description in RNAcentral is "crAssphage cr128_1 tRNA-Arg". It matches the Rfam family "tRNA". Rfam says of the family: Transfer RNA (tRNA) molecules are approximately 80 nucleotides in length. Lineage: Duplodnaviria; Heunggongvirae; Uroviricota; Caudoviricetes; Crassvirales; Steigviridae. The record is from RNAcentral.
ACUCUUAUAGUUCAAUGUAUAGAACAAUUCUCUUCUAGAGAGUAGAUAUAGGUUCGAUUCCUAUUAGGAGUGC